Molecule: long non-coding RNA, 598 nt
Organism: Acipenser ruthenus (sterlet)
Lineage: Eukaryota; Metazoa; Chordata; Actinopteri; Acipenseriformes; Acipenseridae
Exons: 3
Source: RefSeq, a predicted model, not a curated record
GGGAACUCCAACAGCAUCGGGAUCACAAUCCAACAUGGCAGCAGGAAGAAUCAACCACUAGUGAUCAGGGUCAGCAGCCGGAGCAUCGUCACAGUUUGUCACACAGCAUGCUGAACGGGUGGAGGAGGAAAGAGGUGGAAAUAGAGGCAGGAACCUGGAUUGCAAGUCCUCCUCUGCACACACAAUCUGGUGUGGCAGCUGACCGAGGACGACAUCAACAAUACCCUUCAACGACAGAGUACAGGCGAUCCAGCCUCGUGGAAACGAGACUUGAGACGCCAAAUGCAGGCCACCGCUGCCAGACAACAGGUGUUGUUCCAACAAGCAGAGCAUCGUCGUCAACGUGACUGGGCUUGGUGGAUGAGACAGCAAAGUUCUCAGAGUUCCUGCAGAACAUUGCUGAGACUGUGAGACCAACCACGCUUAUGGUUGACGUUGGCACUGUCCCAUUUCUGAUGCCCAGCCUUUUCUCUUCUGGCAGGGGACGAUCUAGCGCAGGGGUGUCAAACAUACGGCCCGCGGGCAGGAUCCGGCCCCUGGAAUGUUAUUUUUUUAUUCAAUAGGAUACAGAUAAAAAAAAAUGAAAACAAAUGAGUGC